This is a non-coding RNA of Microcebus murinus (gray mouse lemur), 3367 nucleotides long. Lineage: Eukaryota; Metazoa; Chordata; Mammalia; Primates; Cheirogaleidae. The record is from RefSeq and is a predicted model, not a curated record.
AUAAUAAGUAUGGCAUAUGGAAUUAAAUGAUCAGAAAAUACCAAGCCUUCAGUGAAAAGCAGAUUCCUAAUGAGCAAUUGUUAAAGACUUCUUAGGGGAAAAGAAAAAUCAUUUUCUUUACGUGAACUUUACGUGAACAUAGCCCUGUUUCUCUAAUAAUUCCAACAUACGGUGUAGCUCACGGUUGGCAUCUAAAAUAGCUUUUGAGAAUAUACAUGACAAAGUGGAGAAAUAUAAGUAACUCGUGUAAAACAAGGUAAAAGCAAUUGCUGGGGGUCAACUCCAGGGGAAAUGUUGGACCAAAAUGUUGGCAAAAAGGGAAACACAAUUCAUCAAGUAUUUCUCAUUUUUCCAUGGGGAGCAAACAUACCAGCUAGGAAGGGGCCAUGAAGGUGUUCCUGCCAUUGAGGUCUGGAAUAAAAAUAUCACCAGCAGUUUGAUUUAGAGCAGAAAAAAUAAGCCCAUAUAGGCUUACACUUCUCUGUUCACUAAUAAACACCAUGGCGUCAAUUCCCUUUAGAAUUUUUUUUCCCCAGAUGUUGUGGCUUUAUGCAUUUUUACCUCCAGAAAGGGUCCAUAGCUUUGAUUGUAUUUCCAAAUGGAUGCAAAACUCCCAAACUGCUAAGCAUCAUUUCUAUAGAAAACACUGAUGAUGCAGUGGGCGGCAUUCUCCAAGCCAUAAAAGCUGCAAUAAAGGCACUAGCAGGUUUCAUAAAGCUUUUUUUAUAUAGGCUUCUUCACAAUGUUGAGGGUCUGACACUAGAUCACUACUCGGUAAGACAAUUUUAUUUAUAUUCCUACCUCCGCCCUGUGUUGCUUUUAUUAGGGGUAGAUGCUCCCUUUUAGUGAUGUCAUAAUAAUGGUAUCUGUUCCGUGCAGUGGUGGAAGCCUGGGUUCUGGAGCCAGACAGGCCGGCUGUACACUCUGCCUUCAGCACCCCCUCCCCGUGUGCUGUGUGGCUGGUUGUUUAAUGUCUCUGCGCCUCCUUUCCUUAUCUGUGAAAUGGGGCUAGUAACAGAUCACACGGCAGCAUGGCCAUGAGAUUUAAAUGAAGAAAGAAAGGCAAAGCAACAUACGGGUGUCUGGCACGUCACACGUGCUCAGGAAGUUGAGAGUCAUUUGUCAUUGUUGUUGCUAUGGCAAUCAUUGCUGGUGUGGUCCUGCCUUUUGCACCUGUCAUGUUGACAUGCCUGAACUGAGUAGGACAUUUUAACACAUCAGGAUCUUUAAAAAGUUGAGUAUUCUAAUAAUGCUUUUGUUCAAAUAUUAGUGGUUAGCCAAUGAGAGAUGUUUAAGAUUAUCCUCACUUGCACAUAACCGAUCUUGAUUUAGGACUGUGCACAUUUUAGCUUUCACAGUCAUUGUAUGUUCGUUCAUCCAAAACCAGAGAGGCUAUAGUAUACAACGGAAAAGACACAGAUGUGUCAACCCAUCUGUCCACUCGAUGUGCCUGUGCCCAGGGAGAGGACACUCAGCACCUAUGAAGGAGAGAUUUGUAGAAGUGUAAAUGCUCUACCAUAGCAUUACUCUCUUGUUUUAAUGAAAAUCAUGGAGAUGUCUGAAUGUCUUCAAUGAACAGCCUUCCCAAGUAGAUGCAACAUUAAAAAAAGAUGACAAAAAUAAGCAUAAAUGCUCAAGUUCUAAAGCACUAGGAUGUCACAAAUGACAGUCUUCGAGAGUUAAGGGAUUGUGAAUUGCAUCUGGUGGUUUUCCUCGACUUUUGCUCAUCUCUCCACAAGCUUCCAUAUCUCUAACGCAGAGCAGCCCUUCUUCUUCCAAGAGGCCGACGAGGACGUCCUGGGGAGCUUGGGCUAUAGGUCCAGGUGGAGGGAGAUGAUGUGUAAAGACUGAACCUAGACCUGCCACCUCUUGCUACCCAUGACCCCUUUUCAUCUGAGAAGAUAAUCCUCCGGGAGUGAAUUCGUGUUGACCUCUAUGUUCUUUGGAUACAUGAAGAAUUUUCCUCUCUAUUAGAACGUAAAAUCUCACAUUCUUGUUGUGUGCAGACAUUCUAAAGUACCCCUGAGUGGUAGGGCUGCCUUCAGGCUUAAUUUGCUAUCAAAUACAUCACCGAGACCCUUUGACUUCUUCUCGCUUUCUCUUUUUAUUUGCUACACUGCUGUCAUUUACAGACAGGCUUUUCCUUAACCUCCUACCAUUUUCUCUGUUCACACGACUGUAACCCCCACAACAGUCCAAGGAUGCAUCUGUCGCGGGGACUUUGCACAGGAUCUUCUCUGUCUGAAGUACUUUUCCUUUAGACAACUUCCUCAUUUCCUCCAGGAGUGUGCUCAGAUUCUCAGAAAGACUUUCAUUUACAUAUUAAAAAGAUUAUCAAUGAGUAAGUGAAAGAGGGAUGUUGUUAACUCAGAUUUUACAUUCCUAGAAAGUCGGGUCCUAUGGGAAAGUUUGAGAAUCUUACUUGAAGGACAAAGUGCAUCUCUAUGAUCCUCACCAGCCCUGCCUGGGUCACACACCCAAACCUGAGCCAAUCCCCUUGGAGAGGAAGUAACACACUGGUUGAGUGAGUCAUGUUAUUUAACUUUCCUCCGUAAGCAGAGCUUGGGUUCCACGCAGGCAGAAAUGAGAGUUUGAGGUGUAUAGUUCUUCAGUGGGAAGGAAGGUAUAGUUACCAGGAAGGGAAUGAGAGUGAAUUUAUCUGCAGAGCAAAAAUAAUGCAUGUCUGUUCCUUUCCCAUGAUAGAAUUUCCAUUUUGUUCCACACUUUGAGUCUGGUAGUUGUUCAUACAAUAUAUUUCUCAAGAAUUAGACCAUCAAACGAACAUACUCUUUUUUCUUAAAGUGUAUAAGUAGGGUCUGUUUAAAAAAUUUUUUGAAAGAUAAAAAUGGUUUUAUAAGUAAAGGAGACCAUGCAGACAUACGGAAAGGAAAAUGUUUUGACAUAUUUUGAAAAGAACUUGUUCCAAGGAAAACAAGAUUGUGAGGAAACCUAGGAAUCUAUUUCUCGUUGCAACUGAAGAGAGGAUAUUGUGAUGAGGAAGACUGCGUUGUCAUGGUGCUUUGCUUUGUUGAGAUCAUGACUCAAUUUGCUGAAGCACUUUGCGAUCAGAGAAUAUGUUCCAGGGGAUAUUUGCAGGGUCUGACCUAACAAAAGCUUGAUAGAUGCAAUACAGAGGAAACGUGUACAAAUCGAUAAGAAAAAGACAAAUCCAGCAGCAUAUAUGUGCAAAAAUGAUUAUUGAGGUGUUAUAUCUGGGGGAUGCAUGCUUGGAGGCAAACUGGGGACCCACCAAUGGGAGAGUAGAGGUAAAAAUGUGAUAUUGGCACACCGUGAAGCACUGAACAGUAGGUAGAAACGAAAAUGCAGAUUUAAAAAUAGCAACACAAAUAGAUGUUUUUAAAAAUUA